UGCCGGUGUGGCGGAAUUGGCAGACGCGCGGGAUUCAAAAUCCCGUUCCAGCGAUGGAGUAUCGGUUCGACCCCGAUCACCGGUAGC
RNAcentral lists this transfer RNA (87 nucleotides) under Lacticaseibacillus rhamnosus. Its description in RNAcentral is "Lactobacillus rhamnosus tRNA-Leu". It matches the Rfam family "tRNA". From Rfam's summary of the family: Transfer RNA (tRNA) molecules are approximately 80 nucleotides in length. Their secondary structure includes four short double-helical elements and three loops (D, anti-codon, and T loops). The record is from RNAcentral. Lineage: Bacteria; Bacillati; Bacillota; Bacilli; Lactobacillales; Lactobacillaceae. RNAcentral also lists the same sequence under 1 other name.